AGUUGGCGUUUGACUUUGUUGGAAAACUUGUAUUGUUUACAAAUAAGCUUGAAAAGAAAUCGCAUACAAUACAAUAACAUUUUUGCAUGUUACACCUAUAUCGAACUGCAUACUUUAUUAUUGGUUUUGGUAGAAGUUUCUAAACAUUCAGAACCUCGAACAAUUCAGGUUUUCAAGCUCUUAUGUUCAACUCUAAAUUGUGAAUUUGGAAAACAGAAUAAGGAUUUCUGGAUUUUAAUAACAAACUCAACUUACUAGUUUAGAAAUGACAGUCAACAAACAAACUAUCGAUAAUGAAAAUGUCAACGGCUUCAACAUUACACUAAAAGUGGAAAAACGUAAUAUUAAUCCCACGUCUCAACGCUAUGUAAUAUCAUACAAAAAUAAGGAACAAAAGUCAUCAUUAUGGUCAAAGAAGUCCCUUAUAUGUGCAAUAAUCUUCAAUAUUUUAGCCAUGAGCUAUAUUCGUAUAAGUUUUACAGCAACUUCAAUUAUUAUUAUUGUGAUGUCAUUCCUUAUAUUUUUCUGGGUUACACACACUGUACAGACAGAAACACUUUUAGUUAUUCCAACUGUGGGUAUACAGACAUCAGUGAAGUAUGUUAUAGGUAGAGAAGAUAAUUAUGUUUCUUGGAAUAACAUUGAUGAUGUCAUUAUUAAUGAAGUAAUUAAAUUUAAUAGAGUACUAUACUUUCUCACAAUUUUAGUAAAGAGUACUAACCAGGCGGAUCAAAUUAAAUUAAUACCACUAUUUAAGUACACAAAACCUAGGCUUAUGAUGCUGGAAGUGAUUUAUUCUGAAAUACAAUCAUUAUUAAUAGACUCAAGGAAAGAAACCAAUGGGGAUGGGCAAGGUUCUGGGGAUAAAUAGAGAAAAGUAAAAUAAUUGAACUUCGUAAAAUAGAGUGUGGAAUGUGUAUGUAUUAAAAUGUUGUGAAAUAGCUUAGAUUAAUUAAGUAGAGAUGUAUAAGUAAGGUUAGUAUGAAUGUGAUUUACCUUUAAAAAAUUGUUUAGUUACUGAUUAUAUAUGCAAUAUUUCUCUUACAUCGAUAGAAAAAAUAUUAAUAAAGGGAUGUUCUAAGUUUUGUUUAUUCAUUUGUAAUGAAGAAACCAAAAACUAGUUGACUGAUAAGUUUUCGAUUCACAAUUACAAAUUGUAUUUGUUAUGAAGGUAAAGUUAAAUAUAUAUUAGAUAUUAUUUUACAAAUUGUUACUCCUGUUAUAGCAAAUAUUUUGAACAAAUAAUAGGUUUAAAUAAUUAUAAAAUUAAGUCACUAAAUUUAUA
Molecule: long non-coding RNA, 1285 nt
Organism: Pieris brassicae (large cabbage white)
Lineage: Eukaryota; Metazoa; Arthropoda; Insecta; Lepidoptera; Pieridae
Exons: 4
Source: RefSeq, a predicted model, not a curated record